Non-coding RNA from Acanthosepion pharaonis, 113 nucleotides. The record is from the annotation of a GenBank genome assembly. NCBI's taxonomy places the organism in Eukaryota, Metazoa, Mollusca, Cephalopoda, Sepiida, Sepiidae.
UUACGGCCAUAUCACGCUGAAACAUCGGUUCCCGUACGAUUACUGAAGUUAAGCAAUGUCGAACUUGGUCAGUACCACGAUGGGUGACCGUUUGAGAAUACCAGGAGCUGUAA